CCGAAGCAGGCUCCAGGCUCCGAUCUGACAGCACAGAGCCUGACGCAGGGCUUGAGCCCACGAACUUGAGAUCAUGACCUGAGCCGAAGUCUGGCGAUCAAGCGACUGAGCCACCCAGGCGCCACCCGAAUUUCAUGCUUAAGAGGAGAUUAAGCGUGGAUGGCUGACCUCAGUGGUGUGGGCUCGGUGCCCCUCUCUGGGGAUCUAAGGCAUCUCCCCGGGCUACUACUCAGCGCGUGUUGAUGAGGAGGACAUCUGUGAGGCUGCAGGAGACCAGCAGAAAGCUGCCGGAUUCUUCUCCCUCUGGCGGAUAGGACGUGUGCAUUUGGUCCUUACUUGUGUGUGACCGCGGCUAACCACACGGGGACUUCUUGUAGCCGCUAGACAGGCCUGUGCAGGCCUCAGGGGCUCUGGGAAGUGUCCCAGUCAAGGUCAACACUCAAGAAGACAGAAGAUGGAAUGGGGCAGUCCCACCCCAAGCGGGCUGCUGGGUCCAGGUGGGGGCCGCUGUGGAGCUGGGGGCAGGGUAGGAGGCACCCAGGGCAGGGGCACCUGCUGAGAGGAGCAGGGGGGCGCCAGUGCCCUCCCUGAGCGUUUCCCCUCACUCCUGCUCUCCUCCCCGACCAGCAUCCUCCUACCCUUGAGUGCGCGACAGGGGAGAGCGCCCAGGGCCCGUGUCUUCCCCUCGACACACGGCCCAAGCAGAGCGAUGACGCCGUGUAAACAGAACAUGCUUCCUGAGAGGAGGCGCUGCGUCCAAGUCCCGUGUCCUCCACCUUCUAGCUGGUGACCUUCAGCCAGUGACUUAAGGCCUUCAGAGCUUCCAUUUCUCUACCGGAAAAUGGAGCAAAUACCUUCUGUCUGCCCCCCGGGGGCCACCGUGCUGAACAAGGCAUCCUGUCCUUCCGUGGGACCUCAGAGCGUAGACGGUACAUUUUCCACGGCCGAGCAUCUCUUAUAUCGCUUGACAAGUGAUGCCUGAUGCAGAUGUGUCCAGUGCUGUCGUUCCUGGCGGAGACGGAGCGGGAGCUGGUGGGUCUCUUCAAUUCCCCAUAAGGAGACCCUCUUGGCCUUUUCUUCUUUGCUACAAGUUUCCAGGCUUUGUGUUGUUAAACUGAUGAAGGCUGACGCAAAGCCCCGCAACGAAGCGAGGGGCUCCUGCCCGAGAGCAGGGUCGGCCCCCGCAGAAAACGACCUUUGAGCAUCCCUCAAGGCCUGGGACGUGUCUGAACCUACUUGUCAGGGACGCAGAGCUAGCCGGAAGCGCGAUUUCCUUUCCCCCUCGGAACUGAUCCUAUGGAAACACACAUGUCCGAAGAGGCAAAGGGCCAAGUGCUGUACCCUGGUGUUCGUAGCAGCAGGAUUCAUAACAGCUCCCAAGCAGAAACAACUCACGUGUCCAUCAGCUGAUUAAGCAAAAUGUGGUCUAUCCACGCAAGAGAAUGUUACUCGGCCGUAAGAAGGAGUGAAGCUCUAACUCACGCCACAGUGUGAAUGCACCUUGAACACACAACGCUCAGACACAAAAGCCAUUUAUGUGAAAUGUUCAGAACAGGCGCACCCACAGAGAGUGCGUUAGUGGGCGCCGGGGUCGGUGGGGGGGGGUGGCGUUGGGGUGACUGCUAAUCAGACAGGACUUCUUUUGGGAGUGAUGGAAAUGUUCUGGAGUUAGACAGUGGUGAUGGUUACAUAAGCCCCAAGGAUACACAAAGACCCACUGAAUUACACACUCGAAAUGGGCCGACUCUGUGGUAUGUAAAAUAUAUCUCAAUACAGCUGUGAAAACAAGAUCUACAGUGCCCUGGCGGAGUUACUCGAAGUCACAAAAAAACUGCAAACAACUUAAAUGUUCAUCAGUAGUAAAAUCAUUCAAUAAAUUACGGUACAUCCCUAGUGUGAUGCCAUGACACCAUCAAAAAGAAUGAAGCACGGGGCACCCGGGGGCUCAGUCGGUUGGGCGUCCGACCUCGGCUCAGGUCACGAUCUCACGGUCCGUGGGUUCGAGUCCCGCGUCGGGCUCUGUGCCGACAGCUCGGAGCCUGGAGCCUGCUUCCGAUUCUGGGUCUCCCUCUCUCUCUGCCCCUCCCCCACUCACGCUCUGUCGUGAAUGCGGUGCGUACAGGGAACACCACUGCUAUUCGAUCCACUUGGUCUACAGUAUGCUGCCACUUACACGGCCAGAGGCUUUAAUAUUAAUUCAAUAUCAAACACCAAGAGGAAAUUUCCUGGACAAACCGACUGUGGAGCAUUCGUACAGUGGAGUACAACUCAGCAAUGGAAAGAACAAGCCAUCGACGCGCAUGACGGCACGAUGAGUCUCGAAGGCAUUACGCCAAGCGACGGGGAGGGGAGCUGAGCGGGUGGCCAGGGGUCAAGGGUGGAGUGAGGGUCUGGCUGCAGAGGGGCAGCUCAAGAGAACGCACCCCAGUGUUGGAACUGCUCUCUGCCCACUUGGUGGGUGGUGGUUACCAGAACCUAUGCGUGUGUGAGAAAACUCACCCCAAAAUGUAAACAUGACUGUAUGUAAACUUAAACUAUAAAUAAACAGAAAGGAACAAAGUGAAUUUACCAAAAAGAAGGCGCAGGCCCAGAGGAUUCAAAAGUGAACAAGCCAGAUCUGGGGGUGCGGACAUCCUCAUGCAGCAGAGUCAGACAAGAAACCAGUCACCAGAUAUACGAGGUUAUUUCAUAGAGAUCUGGGCCGUGACAAAGGGAGAAGGCAGAGGGACAGAGCCGGUGGGGAGGGGUGGUGGAAAAGGGGCUCCCAAGCUGUCACCAGGCCAGUGAAGGGUGUUGUGGAGGACGGUGCUGACAUGAGACCUGGCCAGACAUAGGGAGAUGGGAGCAAGCACUCCCAGCACAGGGAACAGGAGGUGCAAAGGCCCUGUGGCAAGGGAAGGCAGGGGGCUGGAGACAACAGCAGAGACCCCGAGGGCAUGGCCAGAAGUCUGAAUCUUAGUCCAGUUCCUGAGGGAAACUCCAAGCAGGGCCACAACACAUUCUGGUUAAACUAUAUUCUUCUUAGACUAUUGGGAGAAAGAGUGAAGACAGGAAAACCAGGGAGGAAGCUCCCAUGGCAUACACUGUUUAAAGAUUUUAAUAAUAAUUAAUGCUUUUUAAGUCCCUAACUGAGCUUAUUAACACCUAUAUAUGGAGGCUGGAUAGCAAAUCUGUCAUUUUGUAAAGAAGUCAAGUAACAUUGAUCCCAGUAAAUGAAAGGUUAACUAAUUAAGUAUUUAGUCACCACGAAAGUAAAUGAAAGCCUCUACGACUUUCGUGCAGGUAAUUGCACUCUUAGUAAGUCAUCACAGCCCACAAGCAUCAGCUUGCUUAUUAAUUCAGUGUUAACUGUCCGUAUUGACUUAUACAUGCCAUUAUCCCAAAAUCAAAUAAUUUACAAGCAUACUUAUUUGUUUUAAAAAGGGACAUAAAAAAGUAGACAGAGGAAAUGAACAAGGCCUUGAACCUGUAGUUUGGUUACAGUUACUCACCGGUAGGGAUUAAUAUAGUAAAUUGAGUUCAAUCAGGGGUUGGCAAACUUCUUCUGCAAAGGGCCAGAGUACGUUUUUGGCUUUGCAGACCAUAGGGUCUACGUCAAAACUACUCAACUCUCACUGUUUCCAGAAAGCUGCCAGUGACCUUACAUAAGGAAUGGGUACGGUCGCAUUCAGAGCCCUACCAGAACCUGGGGCAAAGGACACAAAUCAGCGAUGCUGAUCCUGUCUUUAAAAUGUUGACAUUUUGCUCGAUGGAUGUUUGUGUGUGUGUGGCAUGUUUCGAUUUUUAAAAUGCUACAUAAGUGAAAUGUGACUUAUCUUGAUACCUGAGGUUUUCUGGCCCUGGACCUGUUUCAAUAAAACUUUAUUUACAGACACUG
Molecule: long non-coding RNA, 3877 nt
Organism: Felis catus (domestic cat)
Lineage: Eukaryota; Metazoa; Chordata; Mammalia; Carnivora; Felidae
Exons: 2
Source: RefSeq, a predicted model, not a curated record